RNAcentral lists this ribosomal RNA (440 nucleotides) under Rhodobium sp. JA493. RNAcentral describes it as "bacterial SSU rRNA". It matches the Rfam family "Bacterial small subunit ribosomal RNA", at positions 160 to 634 of the family's 1533-position model. The record is from RNAcentral. Lineage: Bacteria; Pseudomonadati; Pseudomonadota; Alphaproteobacteria; Hyphomicrobiales; Rhodobiaceae.
CGGGCUAUACCGCAGAAGCCCUCCGGGGGAAAGAUUUAUCGCCUAUGGAUGAGCCCGCGUUGGAUUAGCUAGUUGGUGGGGUAAUGGCCCCCCAGGGGGACUAUCCAUAACUGGACUGAAAGGAUGAUCAGCCACACUGGGACUGAGACACGGCCCAGACUCCUACGGGAGGCAGCAAUGAGGAAUAUUGGACAAUGGGCGCAAGCCUGAUCCAGCCAUGCCGCGUGAGUGAUGAAGGCCCUAGGGUUGUAAAGCUCUUUCAGUAGGGAAGAUAAUGACGGUACCUACAGAAGAAGCCCCGGCUAACUUCGUGCCAGCAGCCGCGGUAAUACGAAGGGGGCUAGCGUUGUUCGGAAUUACUGGGCGUAAAGCGCGCGUAGGCGGAUUGUUAAGUCAGGGGUGAAAUCCCGAGGCUCAACCUCGGAACUGCCUUUGAUACU